Molecule: ribosomal RNA, 334 nt
Filed under: uncultured bacterium
Lineage: Bacteria
Description: bacterial SSU rRNA
Rfam family: Bacterial small subunit ribosomal RNA
Source: RNAcentral
AGAGUUCGAUCAUGGCUCAGGACGAACGCUGGCGGCGUGCUUAACACAUGCAAGUCGAACGGUGAAGGGAUCAGCUUGCUGGUUCUGGAUGAGUGGCGAACGGGUGAGUAACACGUGAGUAACCUGCCCCCUUCUUCUGGAUAACCGCAUGAAAGUGUGGCUAAUACGGGAUAUUCUGCGCCUGCUGCAUGGUGGGUGUGGGAAAGAUAUUGUUUCGGUGGGGGAUGGGCUCGCGGCCUAUCAGCUUGUUGGUGGGGUGAUGGCCUACCAAGGCGGUGACGGGUAGCCGGCCUGAGAGGGUGGACGGUCACACUGGGACUGAGACACGGCCCAG